AGAGUUUGAUCCUGGCUCAGAUUGAACGCUGGCGGCAGGCCUAACACAUGCAAGUCGAACGGUAACAGGAAGAAGCUUGCUUCUUUGCUGACGAGUGGCGGACGGGUGAGUAAUGUCUGGGAAACUGCCUGAUGGAGGGGGAUAACUACUGGAAACGGUAGCUAAUACCGCAUAACGUCGCAAGACCAAAGAGGGGGACCUUCGGGCCUCUUGCCAUCGGAUGUGCCCAGAUGGGAUUAGCUUGUUGGUGGGGUAACGGCUCACCAAGGCGACGAUCCCUAGCUGGUCUGAGAGGAUGACCAGCCACACUGGAACUGAGACACGGUCCAGACUCCUACGGGAGGCAGCAGUGGGGAAUAUUGCACAAUGGGCGCAAGCCUGAUGCAGCCAUGCCGCGUGUAUGAAGAAGGCCUUCGGGUUGUAAAGUACUUUCAGCGGGGAGGAAGGGAGUAAAGUUAAUACCUUUGCUCAUUGACGUUACCCGCAGAAGAAGCACCGGCUAACUCCGUGCCAGCAGCCGCGGUAAUACGGAGGGUGCAAGCGUUAAUCGGAAUUACUGGGCGUAAAGCGCACGCAGGCGGUUUGUUAAGUCAGAUGUGAAAUCCCCGGGCUCAACCUGGGAACUGCAUCUGAUACUGGCAAGCUUGAGUCUCGUAGAGGGGGGUAGAAUUCCAGGUGUAGCGGUGAAAUGCGUAGAGAUCUGGAGGAAUACCGGUGGCGAAGGCGGCCCCCUGGACGAAGACUGACGCUCAGGUGCGAAAGCGUGGGGAGCACACAAAAUUAGAUACCCUGGUAGUCCACGCCGUAAAC
This 810-nucleotide ribosomal RNA is filed under the name uncultured bacterium. RNAcentral describes it as "bacterial SSU rRNA". It matches the Rfam family "Bacterial small subunit ribosomal RNA", at positions 8 to 807 of the family's 1533-position model. The record is from RNAcentral.